GCCAGUGUGGCUCAGUGGAUAGAGCGUUGGUCUGUAGACCAACGGGUCCCAAGUUCGAUUCCGGUCAAGGGCA
Non-coding RNA from Myotis brandtii (Brandt's bat), 73 nucleotides. NCBI's taxonomy places the organism in Eukaryota, Metazoa, Chordata, Mammalia, Chiroptera, Vespertilionidae. The record is from Rfam.